GUGCACUAUGGAGGAGACCCAAGCUAUUGCUCUCUCAGACUAUUUUAAUUGCAAAAUACCCCUCGAUUUGUUGUGUAAACUCUUUUACCAUAAAUCUUACUCCGAUGUAUCAAGUGUAGCUUAUUUUCUGAAAGAAAAUUUUAUCUCCAUGGUAAUUUAGAGAAGUCGUUUUUUGGUUUUUCAAACGGUUUUCAUAAUAUCUAGAAAAAAUCGGGAUAAAAUGUCGGAAAAACAGAAAAUGUACGAAAUGUAAGUAUAAGUUAAAAUAUAUUAUGGCAUUAUUUUUUUGUGUACAACUUUUCUACCAGCAACUUUGUUGCGAUUUAAAAUGAUAGCACUCAUUUUGAACGAAAAUCUUACUGGAAAGGUACUUAAGGGACGUAAUUUUUCGAUUUUCCCAAGAGUUUUCCAAAUAAGUGGGAAAAUCGGUACAAUAUUAAACCAAUAAUAUUAAAGAAAAUAUAUAAUAUUUAUUUAAUUAUUUUACCAUAAUAUGACAUAUAUAUUAUUGACAAAGCAUCACUAUCAACUAAACUGCGCUCAGAAUCGUUUUUCGUUAACAAUGGUUUAUCGUCGCUUACAGAUAUACAUUAAAUUACCUAUAAUUGUGACUCCACCCGUAUUUAUUAUCCUAGAACGUCUUUCUGGUGCUUUCUUUUGAGGUUAGAGUUCGAACUCCUUAAUUACAAUUAUCACUUAUAAUUCUUAUCAGAACUAUAUCAAGGUAAAAUUAGGUCAAUGAUUAUAGUAGCGCGCCCCACUACAACUUUACUACGCACAUUCGCACACUGAUGGAUAGACCAAAUGACGUCCAAGCAUGUUGUCGCGCCGAACAGGUGAUGUUGUCGAGCAACAAUCUAGCAAUCUCGUGAUUAUUACGACUCGCGAGUCAUGAGCUCCACAACUCUAUCGUUUGUUAGGUUAGAUUAUUGCCUGAGAGUUGCUCCCCGCGUUAUGUAGUUUGUGAGUCAUUUUAAAUACCCCGUAACCUAUAUCAAAUAAUUAAUAAAUCAUUUUUUAUUCGUUUUUUUAAGAAUGCAGAGAAAACUAUUGGCGGUAACAGUAAGGGAAAUUGUAGCCGCUGCUAAUCCACCUCCAACUCUACCGCCAUUUCCCACACCGACCCGUCGACUCCUUUAAUUCUUAUAUCUAGCUUUUUCGAGUCGUUAUUAUCCAAGCACCAAUGUAUAUCGUUACGUUUAAUCGACUAAUUUUGUGAUUUGCAGUCGUUUGUUCUUUAGUACGUAUUCUUAUUUAUAUUUUGUAACUUUCUGAUAACUAUGAACUAAUAUAAUGAAGCCCUUGUUUGUUCAGAGAAAAUAAAAAUAUGAACAGGUCAUCUCUACUUGUGCACAUGUUUUUGUUACGAAAACUUUAUAAUAUAAUAUAGGUACAUUUUUGUAUAUUUUUUAAAUCUAAUCUAUUAAAAUUAUAUAAGUUUAGUUAAAGUAUUAAUCUGUUUCCAAUAAAUUGAUAUUAAGUCGCAUGUUGACGUCUAUAGUUUAAAUAAUAAGAUACGCCUAUUUUUUAUCCUCGUAUUUACCUAGAUUAGAAAAUGAUGGUAGUAUGCCUUGAUCAAGUCUCAAAUUCGCAAUUAUAAUUAUUAUUUACUCCGUGAAUAUAUUACAAUCUACAUUCUAAAUGUUAAAUGUAAUAUAAUUUUAAUUGAAAAAAAUUAUCUUGGAAAUGACAUACAUCAUUAUCACGGUUCCUUUUCAAUAUGUAGAUAAAUCUACCAAGUAGUAAAAGAUGACAAUUGUGUUCUGGAUCCUGCCGCCUAGACGUAUGACCUAUCCAUGUUUUUAUUAUCUACUUAUAUUUUUUUAGGAGGGUUUAGUAACCUAACCUUUAAAUACAUUCUAUUGUAUAUGAUUUAAUAUUUAUUAUUAUUUGUUAUGUUUUUGACACAUUUAGAAAUAUAAAUACUUUAUAAUAAAAUAAUAAAGUAAAAACAAAAUUAUGAAAAUUGUUAAUACUUAUAAAUAAAUAUUUUGUUUAUAGAUACUUGUGUGACGUUCUAUGCCAAACCACCUUAGAACAUAUAUUAUAGAUGGAGCCAUAGCCUUAGAAGAUAAUUAAAGGACAUAGGGCUAUCUUCCGCGGUAGCUUAGAGAGGAAGUUUUACUUCCUACCCUAUUGAUAACUUAGUUUCUGGUCACGAAGAAUAACAUCACAGUGUUAAAAGUUAAAAAUUUUUAACCGAUCAUCUGGUUGUUCAUAUUGAAUUUUAUUGUGAUCGAAUUUCGAAUCCAUUGACUAAUUGUUAUUCUUCACUAUAAUGCCAUUCAAGAAGUGUAUAGUGUGCAUACAUGAUUCUGGUAGGUUUAAUAUUAUCUAUAUUUUAUAAACUAAGAAUAAAUAACAAUGUACAGCAUUAUUCACAAAAUGUACCUAGGUAUUCUACACUUAAUCAUUAAAACUAUAUAGUAAUAAUAACAAUACCUAAGACAAAAUUUUUAAUCCUUCAAAAGAGGAUGUUUAGACCCUCUUCUUCAUUUAUAAAUUAAAAGUAAUACAAGUAAAGUUGAUUAAUGAUUUACAGAAUAUAUCAGAAUGAAACUCGUAGCCUGCUUAUCUAACGUGCACAUUGGAUAUAGUGACUGUGCACGGCGAGCCCAAUACCGUAUUCAAAUUAGAAAUCGGAAACCAUUUCCUUCUUGACUUCUGAUCAGAAACUACGGCUGAACCAUCUACAAUGAAAGUAUUAGAGUUGCAAAACAUAAUAUCUGGAAAAUAUA
Non-coding RNA from Cinara cedri, 2738 nucleotides. Lineage: Eukaryota; Metazoa; Arthropoda; Insecta; Hemiptera; Aphididae. The record is from the annotation of a GenBank genome assembly.